RNAcentral lists this ribosomal RNA (517 nucleotides) under uncultured Staphylococcus sp. Its description in RNAcentral is "partial 16S ribosomal RNA". Lineage: Bacteria; Bacillati; Bacillota; Bacilli; Caryophanales; Staphylococcaceae. The record is from RNAcentral.
CACGUAGUUAGCCGUGGCUUUCUGAUUAGGUACCGUCAAGAUGUGCACAGUUACCUACACAUUUGUUCUUCCCUAAUAACAGAGUUUUACGAGCCGAAACCCUUCAUCACUCACGCGGCGUUGCUCCGUCAGGCUUUCGCCCAUUGCGGAAGAUUCCCUACUGCUGCCUCCCGUAGGAGUCUGGACCGUGUCUCAGUUCCAGUGUGGCCGAUCACCCUCUCAGGUCGGCUACGUAUCGUCGCCUUGGUAAGCCGUUACCUUACCAACUAGCUAAUACGGCGCGGGUCCAUCUAUAAGUGAUAGCAAAACCAUCUUUCACUUUAGAACCAUGCGGUUCUAAAUGUUAUCCGGUAUUAGCUCCGGUUUCCCGAAGUUAUCCCAGUCUUAUAGGUAGGUUACCCACGUGUUACUCACCCGUCCGCCGCUAACUUCAAAGGAGCAAGCUCCUUAUCUGUUCGCUCGACUUGCAUGUAUUAGGCACGCCGCCAGCGUUCAUCCUGAGCCAGGAUCAAACUCU